Molecule: long non-coding RNA, 1511 nt
Filed under: Homo sapiens (human)
Lineage: Eukaryota; Metazoa; Chordata; Mammalia; Primates; Hominidae
Description: HSALNT0203657
Source: RNAcentral
AUCGCGAUUGCAAAGGGCUGCCUGAGUGCCCUUUCUUUGCAGGAAUAUCCUCAAACCACUUCAGAAUCUCAUCCAGUAAAUGAAGAUGAAGAUUCAAAUUAGAAGCAAGAAAUACUGGAAUAGCAGCAAGAAAUGAUGAGGCAAGUAAGAAAGUGAGAAAAGACAGAAUCUGCAAUCAUUUAGGAUCGCUAUGUGUGGAGGGGCGUGUGUACAUAUGUGUGUGUGCAUUCCAAAUAUGUAAUCAAAUAUAAUUAAUGGAAUAAACAUGUAAUAGUAUUUGAUAUUAAUUACAGAGACUUCAUUCAUCAAGAGAAAAAUUAUUAAAUAAUGUGUGGUUUCAUAAAGGUAGGGAAGAUCAUACUCUGGAAACCAUUAAAUCAGAAUUGCUUAAUAUUUUUAAGUGUCUAUAUGAAUAAACUUCCUUAAUGUACAAAAUUCAGAUAUGAAUAAUUCCUAAGAAAUGUGACUACCUUAAGUUUACUAAUUUUUAAGGUUAGAGGUGUAUGGCUUUCAUAUGAAUUAAAAUGAAUAUUAUACAGGAUUACCUACUGGGCCUCACAAAUUUAUCAGAGAACAGUAUGUCAAUUGGGGAUAGAAAAUAUUUCCAGAUUCAUUUGAACAGACUAUUUUUACAUAUUGUAAUUCCUUUGCAAAAAAAAUUUGAUUUUAUCUUUAUUUUGCCUUUUAAAAAAUUCAUCAUUAAAUUGUAAUAUUCUGCAGAACACUGAUAAUGUCAGUGUCAUUGUUCCAUUUUAAUGUCAUGUCAUACAUACUGUUAGAGUUCUAGUUUCUCUUCAGACCCUCUUCUAGACUAGACCCAACAUCUGGUUCUGGUGCACCAUCUAGUGGCUGUAGGAAUCACUGAUGCCUGAAUGUUACUUGCUUUUACUGCAUUGUAGAAAUUACUAGAGCAUUUAUUUUUUAGAAAAUAGUGAGAAUUCUAAAAGGCAAAACCAAAUUCACAAAAUUAUUUUCUUCUAAAAUUCAAAUGCAAAUCAGUUAAUAAGCAAUAGAACUCUUAACGUGAGGGAAUCCAUAGUGCAUAAUUGUUUUGUAUAGCACAUAUUUAAAUGACCAUAUUAAUUUAAAUGGCAAUGCAUACUCAUUUAAGUACUAAUAUUUAUUUGUGAAUAUGCAUAUUUAUUUAAAUACUCUGUAAACUGCUUCAUGUACAGAGACCCACAAUUUAGACAGUGGAUAUAAAUAAUUAACCUGCUGACAAUAAUGUGUAUGUGAUGGCUGAGAUAUAUUUUUUCCUUUUUUUGACAUGCCUUAAAUGAUUAAGCACAAGCAGGCAUUAAUAAACUCAUUCAAAAAUACUUGGUCACAUCUUCGUGUUAUUAUCUAAACUGUACACUCAUGAAAAUAUACUUAUUUUUAAUUUAGAAAGGCACUCCUCAGCAUUUCUUUUUCUAUUCUAAAUUCUUUGCUAAUAUCUAGAAAAUGUACCUCUUUCAAAUACCUACAAAUAUGUUUAAGUUACUAAGUUGUAAAUAAAAAGAUGACUGAUC